RNAcentral lists this long non-coding RNA (630 nucleotides) under Homo sapiens (human). RNAcentral's name for it is "HSALNT0175273". The record is from RNAcentral. Lineage: Eukaryota; Metazoa; Chordata; Mammalia; Primates; Hominidae.
GUCUUUGUGCUGCCUGCUCUGUGUUCCUCCCUUGACUCAAAGUCCUUUCCAUUUCUACUGCUGGAGAGUUUACCAUGCAAAUCCUGCAAUCUGGGUAGAAAGCAAUUUAUGCAAGUAGGCUCCAAAGCUUGGUAUGAGGCCAAUGCCACACGAGCAGGCGAGGCUCAGAGUGUCCAGUCUUAACCAUUGCAAAAGAUCAAAAGUGUGUCUGGAAGUGGUGGGUUCUUGGUCUCACUGACUUCAAGUAUGAAGCUGCGGACCCUUGCGGCGAGUGUUACAGUUCUUAAAGAUGGUGUGUCCAGAGUUUCUUCCUUCUGGUGGGUUCGUGGUCUCACUGGCUUCAGGAGUGAAGCUGCAGACCUUUGCGGGAUGCUUGGAGCCAUUGUUGUCUGGAGGGAGGACUGACUUAUUUCCAGAGAUUCCUGGAGACACUGCUGGAACCUUAGCCAAAUCAGAAUAAGCUCAACUAACUGGUGACAAAUAUUCCUGUGCUAGGACCUGAGACAGGCCAAGUGAGAGAUCUGUAGUAGUUUAUUAGCUUUGUUCAUUAAAAAAACAACAAAAAAUUCCAGAUUGGUGUUUUUUACCUAGUUUCUACUAUGUUCUCUUUGUUUCUUCUGUUCGCUUUUG